RNAcentral lists this ribosomal RNA (521 nucleotides) under uncultured Planctomycetota bacterium. RNAcentral describes it as "bacterial SSU rRNA". It matches the Rfam family "Bacterial small subunit ribosomal RNA", at positions 117 to 643 of the family's 1533-position model. The record is from RNAcentral. Lineage: Bacteria; Pseudomonadati; Planctomycetota.
GACGGUAACCAACCCCAAGAUUGGGUAUAGCCGCGGGAAACCGCGGGUAAUCCCCAGCGACGCAACGACACCGGCAUCAGUGUUUUGCCAAAGCUUCGGCGUCUUGGGACGGGCUGUCGUGGUAUUAGCUUGUUGGCGGGGUAAUGGCCCACCAAGGCUGCGAUGCCUACCGGGCGUGCGAGCGUGGCCCGGCACACUGGGACUGAGACACUGCCCAGACUCCUACGGGAGGCUGCAGUCGAGAAUCUUCGGCAAUGGGCGCAAGCCUGACCGAGCGACGCCGCGUGGAGGAUGAAGGCCUUCGGGUUGUAAACUCCUGUCGAGGGGGAAAAAGGGUUGCAAGACCUUGAUUGAUCCCUGGAGGAAGCACGGGCUAAGUUCGUGCCAGCAGCCGCGGUAAGACGAACCGUGCGAACGUUAUUCGGAAUCAUUGGGCUUAAAGCGCGUGUAGGCGGAUUCGUGCGUCUGUCGUUGAAAUCCCCCGGCUCAACCGGGGAAGUGGCGCGGAUACGACGAGUCUG